GCCAGGUAUGGUGGUGUAUGCCUGUAAUCCCAGUGGCUUGGGAGGCUGAGGUAGGAGGAUCACAAGUUCAAAGCCAGCCUCAG
This 83-nucleotide small RNA is filed under the name Marmota monax (woodchuck). The record is from RNAcentral. Lineage: Eukaryota; Metazoa; Chordata; Mammalia; Rodentia; Sciuridae.